RNAcentral lists this ribosomal RNA (253 nucleotides) under uncultured bacterium. RNAcentral describes it as "partial 16S ribosomal RNA". It matches the Rfam family "Bacterial small subunit ribosomal RNA", at positions 524 to 776 of the family's 1533-position model. The record is from RNAcentral.
UACGGAGGAUCCAAGCGUUAUCCGGAUUUAUUGGGUUUAAAGGGUGCGUAGGCGGAUUGAUAAGUUAGAGGUGAAAUGUCCGAGCUCAACUCGGGAACUGCCUCUAAUACUGUUGAUCUAGAGGGUAGAUGCGGUAGGCGGAAUGUAUGGUGUAGCGGUGAAAUGCUUAGAGAUCAUACAGAACACCGAUUGCGAAGGCAGCUUACCAAUCUAUAUCUGACGUUGAGGCACGAAAGCGUGGGGAGCAAACAGG